UACGAAGGGGGCUAGCGUUGCUCGGAAUCACUGGGCGUAAAGGGCGCGUAGGCGGCCGAUCAAGUCAGGGGUGAAAGCCUGUGGCUCAACCACAGAAUUGCCUUUGAUACUGUUUGGCUCGAGACCGGAAGAGGUUGGUGGAACUGCGAGUGUAGAGGUGAAAUUCGUAGAUAUUGGGAAGAACACCAGUGGCGAAGGCGGCUCACUGGCCCGUAACUGACGCUGAGGUGCGAAAGCGUGGGGAGCAAACAGG
Molecule: ribosomal RNA, 253 nt
Filed under: uncultured bacterium
Lineage: Bacteria
Description: partial 16S ribosomal RNA
Rfam family: Bacterial small subunit ribosomal RNA
Source: RNAcentral